UACGUAGGUGGCAAGCGUUGUCCGGAAUUAUUGGGCGUAAAGCGCGCGCAGGCGGUCCUUUAAGUCUGAUGUGAAAGCCCACGGCUCAACCGUGGAGGGUCAUUGGAAACUGGGGGACUUGAGUACAGAAGAGGAAAGCGGAAUUCCACGUGUAGCGGUGAAAUGCGUAGAUAUCUGGAGGAACACCGGUGGCGAAGGCGGCAUCCUGGACCAACACUGACACUGAGGAGCGAAAGCCAGGGGAGCAAACGGG
This 253-nucleotide ribosomal RNA is filed under the name uncultured bacterium. Its description in RNAcentral is "partial 16S ribosomal RNA". It matches the Rfam family "Bacterial small subunit ribosomal RNA", at positions 524 to 776 of the family's 1533-position model. The record is from RNAcentral.